This 2763-nucleotide unclassified non-coding RNA is filed under the name Hevea brasiliensis (rubber tree). The record is from RNAcentral. Lineage: Eukaryota; Viridiplantae; Streptophyta; Magnoliopsida; Malpighiales; Euphorbiaceae.
UGGGAAUUAGGCCUAGGCAGGAGAUAUGUGGAGGUAACAGUAGUGGUCGUCUUUCGCAGUAUGUGAUAAGUCGCUCUCCGUUCCACAGGGUCCCUUCUUCCUAUUUUGCCCAAUGUAAAGCACCACUACACUACUACUCUUUUAUGUACUUGUUCUUCCUCUUCUUCCCAUACCCAAAAAGGAGAAGAGAACAUCUUCUUCACCCUCCAACUCCAUUUUCAUUUUCAUUAGGAAGCUUAUUGGCUGAUUUUUUGGCUUAUUUGUUGUGAUUCAUUUCUGGGUUCUCAAUUUUAGAACAAGUAAAACUGAAAAGAAGAAGAAAAAGAGUGUAGAUACUGAGACAUCAGGUGAUUUCUUAAGUUGGGUAGGUUUAUAAUUGAGGAGAACUGAAGCUGGUGGGUGGUCUUCGUGUUAAUUGUUAUUGUAGGAACGAUAAUCAAUCAGAACAAAAAUGAAUUGUGGAGCAAUGAAUGUUGCAUCAACUCCUUCCUAUGCUUCUCGGAAUCCAUGUCUCUCUUCUUCUUCUGCUUCUCGCAAUUCGAAGUUCCCACUGCUGUUGCCGCAGGCAAUUUGUACCCCUCAGAGGAUGUUUUGUUUCUCUAAUCUCUCAAAAUAUAAUACUUCUUGGGGAUUGACUAAGCAACAGCUGAACAAGCGGAUGCUGCCUUUGGGAUCAGUGGUGACUUCCAAAUCUCAACAUGUAUCCACUGCACCUCUCAUUGGUGAUGAGAGGAUAGGAGUAUUGUUGCUCAAUCUUGGAGGCCCUGAGACUCUUGAAGAUGUGCAGCCUUUCCUCUUUAACCUUUUUGCUGACCCGGUAAAGAUAUUCCUGAUGGGUUAUCAUCUGAUGGCAUUGGAAUAAAUGCUCAAGUUAAAUGGACCUUUUACCCUGAUGAAAACAGACAUAUUUAACUUGUACAAAUGCAUAUCCCUUAUAGGUUAUAUUGAGCAUCAGGUUUCAUUCUGUCAACUUUUUACCUAAUAUCUCAGGACAUUAUACGCCUGCCAAGAUUGUUUCGUUUUCUUCAAAAGCCUUUGGCACAAUUCAUAUCUGUUGUAAGGGCACCCAAGAGCAAAGAAGGCUAUGCUUCAAUUGGUGGUGGUUCGCCUCUACGGCAGAUAACUGAUGCACAGGCUGAGGAAUUGAGAAAGUCUCUUUGGGAAAAGCAAGUCCCAGCAAAGGUGUAUGUUGGUAUGCGCUAUUGGCACCCAUUCACUGAAGAAGCCAUUGAACAGAUAAAAAGAGAUGGGAUCACAAAGCUUGUUGUGCUUCCACUUUAUCCACAGUUCUCAAUAUCAACCAGUGGUUCAAGCCUUCGUCUCUUGGAGAGUAUAUUCCGAGAAGAUGAGUAUCUUGUUAACAUGCAACACACAGUGAUACCUUCCUGGUACCAGCGUGAAGGAUACAUAAAAGCCAUGGCAAAUUUAAUUGAAAAGGAAUUAGAAACAUUUGACUGUCCUGAGAAGGUUGUGAUAUUUUUCAGUGCUCAUGGGGUGCCACUUGCAUAUGUGAAAGAGGCUGGUGAUCCAUACAAAGCAGAGAUGGAGGAAUGUGUGGAUUUGAUAAUGGAAGAGUUAGAAAAGAGAAAGAUCACUAAUUCAUACACUCUUGCCUAUCAGAGCAGAGUUGGACCUGUGGAAUGGUUAAAGCCUUAUACUGAUGAGACAAUCAUGGAACUUGGAAGAAAAGGGGUGAAGAAUAUUCUUGCUGUCCCAAUUAGCUUUGUUAGUGAGCACAUUGAAACUCUUGAGGAAAUUGAUGUUGAGUAUAAAGAGUUGGCUCUUAAGUCUGGUAUAGAAAAAUGGGGACGUGUCCCUGCACUAGGAUGUGAACAAACCUUCAUUUCAGAUUUGGCAGAUGCUGUAAUUGAGUCUCUUCCAUACGUUGGAGCUGUGGCAGUCUCAAAUCUUGAAGCUCGACAGUCUUUAGUUCCACUGGGCAGCGUGGAGGAGCUGUUGGCGACAUAUGAUUCAAAGCGCAGGGAGUUACCACCACCAGUGACAGUGUGGGAAUGGGGUUGGACAAGAAGUGCAGAAACUUGGAAUGGAAGAGCUGCUAUGUUGGCAGUUCUUGUUCUAUUGGUACUUGAAGUCACCACCGGCGAGGGGUUUCUACGCCAAUGGGGUAUGUUGCCGCUGUUUCAUUGACUAAGAGAAUGUACAUAAAUUACACGAAUUUGUAAAUUUUGUUUCAUACACAUAAUAUAGGAUAAAUCAUCUUGACCCCAGACUUUUAAUUGAAAUUUCACUUAGCGCACCUACUUUUAGUUGCAUCCCAUUUAACACUUUAUAAAAAUGUAAAUAUUUAAUCUCUAUAAUUGGUGAACGUGUAGUUGUGACUUGCUUGUAUUUUGACUUUUCGUUACACUUUUAUAAAAUUUAAGGGUUUAAUAGUUACAUUUUUAUAAGUUCAGGGAUUUAAUAGUAGCUUUUUUAUAAAAUUCAAAUAUCAAGUAGGAUGUUACUAAAGGUGAAGGUGCUAAGUGAGGAUGUUACUAAAAGUGAAGGUGCUAAGUGGCUAUAUGUUCAAAACUUGGAGGUCAAAGAUGCUUUCAGUUCUAUAUAAAAUUGAAACAUCCUAACAGAUUGCAGUUGGGGUUGUACGCAUGUUAUAGGUGCAGUUGAAUAACAAAUCUGUGGGCGAAGAGGGGAAAAUUUGUAUUAUAUGUACGUGUUAUUUUGUUAAUUUGCACAUUCUCGUUUUCAAUUUGUUACUUGUUAUGGGGCCUUCAAUUUUCACACUCAGAACUUUCUUGAUUUAUG